This is an unclassified non-coding RNA of Macaca fascicularis (crab-eating macaque), 117 nucleotides long. It matches the Rfam family "Metazoan signal recognition particle RNA". From Rfam's summary of the family: The signal recognition particle (SRP) is a universally conserved ribonucleoprotein. It is involved in the co-translational targeting of proteins to membranes. The record is from Ensembl. NCBI's taxonomy places the organism in Eukaryota, Metazoa, Chordata, Mammalia, Primates, Cercopithecidae.
GCUGGGUGCGGUGGCUCACGCCUGUAAUCCCAACACUUUGGGAGGCCGAGGCAGGGGGAUCACCUGAGGUCAGGAGUUCGAGACCAGCCUGGCCAACAUGGUGAAACCCUGUCUCUA